GGAAGUGCCUGCCCAGAUGGGCUUAUUGCUCUAGGGCCACUCCUACUCCCUUCACACUGUGCAUUUAAGAUCUCGGCAUUUACUAUCUCCCUGAGACAGGUAGAUAUGCAGCUUUUUCUCUAAGAAAUAGACAAGUGCCAACCUAUCCUUCUCCAGUGUAAUCUGGCCCAAGCAUCUAAAGGCUCAACUAAGGACCGCGGCCCGGGAAUCUCCCGGCCCUAGCCGGGAGAUUCACAAGUGCCCAAAUUCACAAGUUUCAGAAGCGCCCGCAUCACUGCCUCCUGCACUCCUCUGCAAAUGCCCUGGCACACCCGCGACCACGUACCCCUGAGUUUCCUAGCUUAGUUCGCCCCUUUUCCUCCAAGUCAGCAGCCCAGUGAGCAUUCCAGGGUCAGUCCUGGUGCUCACAGUAAGGGCAAUCUCCCACCUCUCCCUGCUGGAUCACAAAGAGGAGCUAGGACAUUUGCCGUUUUCCCCCACAACCCGCACCCUGCGCUGGCCCAGAGCGCAGCGCCCACCUGUGCCACGGCUAGAUGAAGAGUCCCUCACCGCGCGCUGCCUGGGCGCACGGCUGGUGUGCCGCGCUCACCACCUCUACUGGACUCAAGGGUGCUCCCGGCUCACGCUUCUCCGGGCUUCCUGCGUCCGGGUUCCCUCUCCCCCUACUCGCUUUCUUCCUUCAUUCGCUCUUCUCUCAAUUUUUCCUCCUGUCCUUACCCCAUCAACUCUAACAUUUAAUCAAUUCCCGGGCUCCUCCUCCCUGGGCUUCUCUUAGCUCGGUUCCAGCGACCCCGCUAUCCGUCCCGGCUCGCAUUUCUGCACCGCACUGCCCUUCACUCCAGCACGCAGCAGGCCCGGCGCUCCGACCGCGCGGGAAGCCCCCUUCGGAACCGCUGGCGCAGUUUUCAGACUCGCCCGCAGCCCAGAGACCAGGUGCCCACAUCCAGCUCUGCUCUCGCCUUCUCCCUUGAAAGAGACUCCUUGGGGGCUCCCCAGGCCAGAGUUCCCCGCCCGGGGAAUCAUGCUGGUCUCUGGGGUGACCCAGCUGUCAGAGAGGACAGGUCUAUUUUAAGCCUUCCACCCAGUGUCCCAGUCCUGAGGACGCGGGCGCGGGCCCAGGGACUUGGGUAACACCUUGCCAGCACGAUCCCAAGCGGUGGUGGAGCCAGCUCCCCCGGCGGGAGUCCGGCCUUUCAGCCAGGCAGGCGGCGCGGCCACGGAACACAGUCUCAAUACAACCAACUCGAAAUGCAAGAGCCCAGGGAAUCCCAGGGCGGUGGGCGGAGGUGCCCCAUGCCCCAGCCCCCUGGGAAUAGGCUACCUUGGCACAACCGCUUUUCCUUGAAAAGAAGUCACACAUGAGCCCGCCCAAUCAAUCUCUUCCCUCCGUGUGCCCUAGUUUACGUUAUUUCUAGUCAACCGAGUCAUUAGCCUGCAAUAACCCACCCAAAGCGUGACUCUUUGGAAAAUAAUAAGAAUUAGGAACUAUGAGCACGUCAUGAAGAGGCCGACAUCAGCCCCAGACGAUUGAGAGACCGGGCUACACACGUGUGAGUGUCCCCCGUGCAUACACACAAGCACCCAUCCCAUAGACUGAGAUCCAGCUGCAAAUUUGGACAUUGACGCGUCUCUAAGUCUAAC
Long non-coding RNA from Macaca fascicularis (crab-eating macaque), 1641 nucleotides. Lineage: Eukaryota; Metazoa; Chordata; Mammalia; Primates; Cercopithecidae. The record is from Ensembl.